Molecule: ribosomal RNA, 253 nt
Filed under: uncultured bacterium
Lineage: Bacteria
Description: partial 16S ribosomal RNA
Rfam family: Bacterial small subunit ribosomal RNA
Source: RNAcentral
UACAGAGGUCCCGAGCGUUGUUCGGAUUCAUUGGGCGUAAAGGGUGCGUAGGCGGCGGGGAAAGUCUGAUGUGAAAUCCUGGGGCUCAACCCUGGAACUGCAUUGGAUACUUCCUUGCUAGAGUACUGGAGAGGAAACUGGAAUUUACGGUGUAGCAGUGAAGUGCGUAGAGAUCGUAAGGAAGACCAGUGGCGAAGGCGAGCUUCUGGACAGUUACUGACGCUGAGGCACGAAGGCCAGGGGAGCAAACGGG